CCUACGGGUGGCAGCAGUGGGGGAUAUUGCACAAUGGGGGGAACCCUGAUGCAGCGACGCCGCGUGUGGGAAGACGGUCCUCUGGAUUGUAAACCACUGUCCCCAGGGACGAAAAUGACGUUACCUGGGGAGGAAGCUCCGGCAAACUACGUGCCAGCAGCCGCGGUAAUACGUAGGGAGCGAGCGUUGUCCGGAAUUACUGGGUGAAAAGGGAGCGUAGGCGGGGAUGCAAGUUGGGUGUCAAACCUACCGGCUAACCUGUUAGUCGCACUCAAAACUGCCGCUCUUGAGUGAAGUAGAGGUAGGCGGAAUUCCUAGUGUAGCGGUGAAAUGCGUAGAUAUUAGGAGGAACACCAGUGGCGAAGGCGGCCUGCUGGGCUUUUACUGACGCUGAGGCUCGAAAGUGUGGGGAGCAAACAGGAUUAGAUACCCUGGUAGUC
RNAcentral lists this ribosomal RNA (440 nucleotides) under uncultured bacterium. RNAcentral describes it as "partial 16S ribosomal RNA". It matches the Rfam family "Bacterial small subunit ribosomal RNA", at positions 338 to 795 of the family's 1533-position model. The record is from RNAcentral.